Molecule: long non-coding RNA, 1676 nt
Filed under: Setaria viridis
Lineage: Eukaryota; Viridiplantae; Streptophyta; Magnoliopsida; Poales; Poaceae
Description: long non-coding RNA (SVIR_LNC002489)
Source: RNAcentral
UCGCACCUCAUCACAAUUCACCACAGCUCACACUCCACACCUGCCAACCGAAGAUGUCGUGGUUCGGGCACCACCACCACAACCAGCCGGCUCCCGCGGCGUCGGGCCCCAACCAGGUGUUCAAGAUCUUCUGCCGCGCCAACGAGAAUUACUGCCUCGCCGUCCGCGACGGCGCCGUCGUGCUCGCCCCCGCCAACCCCAAGGAUGACCACCAGCACUGGUACAAGGACAUGCGCUUCAGCACCAGGGUCAAGGACGAGGAAGGCAUGCCGGCCUUCGCCCUCGUCAACAAGGCCACCGGCCUCGCCAUCAAGCACUCGCUCGGCCAAUCCCACCCGGUAAGUAUUUACUUGUCUGUCUGUACAUGUUCAUCUACCAUCAGCAAGGAGAUGGAGAUCGAUUCUGAUUGCAAUCCGAUCGAUCCAUAUGCUGUAUGCAGGUGAAGCUGGUGCCCUUCAACCCUGCCGAGGAGGACGCGUCGGUGCUGUGGACGGAGAGCAAGGACAUCGGCAAGGGCUUCCGCUGCAUCCGCAUGGUCAACAACACCCGCCUCAACUUCGACGCCUUCCACGGCGACAAGGACCACGGCGGCGUCCACGACGGCACCACCGUCGUGCUCUGGGAUUGGUGCAAGGGCGAGAACCAGAGCUGGAAGAUCCUGCCAUGGGGCCCCGAGGCGCACUCCCCCGCCGCCGGGCCCGGGAACGCCUCCAUCGGCGGCGUCCCCGUGCACACCGUCCGCGUCUUCUGCAAGGCCGGCGAGGACUACAGCCUGACGGCGCGCAACGGCACGGUGUGCCUGGCGCCCUCCAACCCCAGGGACGAGUACCAGCACUGGAUCAAGGACAUGAGGCACAGCACCCGGAUCAGGGACGAGGAGGGCUACCCGGCCUUCGCCCUCGUCAACAAGGUCACCGGCGAGGCCAUCAAGCACUCCACGGGGCAGGGCCACUCCGUCAAGCUGGUCCCCUACAACCCGGACUACCAGGACGAGUCGGUGCUCUGGACCGAGAGCCGCGACGUCGGCGACGGCUUCCGCUGCGUCCGCAUGGUGAACAACAUCUACCUCAACUUCGACGCCUUCCACGGCGACAAGGCCCACGGCGGCGUCCACGACGGCACCGAGAUCGUGCUCUGGGAGUGGGCCAAGGGCGACAACCAGCGCUGGAAGAUCCUCCCCUGGUGUAAGUGUACAUCCAUGCCAUUGAUGCCCUGCCUUACAUCCUUUGAAAAUCUCAUGUUUUCCAAUCAAUGGUUGCUUGCGUUCGCAGAGAUCGAUGGAGACGGCGGAACCUGAUGGACUGGAACCAAGGAGCUGCUACCUAAUAAUAACCGAUUACUGCAGCGAUUGAAUAAACCGUGUGUUAUGUUGUAAUCGCGGAUUUCGGAGUUGUAUUUGCGUCAGACUGUCGGUCACAGUGUGACUAGUGUCCUGUCCCUUCUGUGAGCCUGGCCUUAGUGCCUCACCAUGUGAGGAGUGACCUGUAUUGUGGAGGAGUAGCCUCGAUCUGAUCCUGCAUUGUGGUGCGAUCCUUCUGGCUUUCUUUCGAUUUCCGGCGCCACAACUCUGUAUCAUCUCGUCUCCUUUGUUCUACUGAAUGAAUAUGCAUCUGCAUUCCGUUUCACCUAUCUUUGCGCUGGGGACCAACUCUGUUCCAUGGUCCACGUGAAACCCC